UGAGGCUAAAUGAGCAGGUAGCAUUAAGAGUCACGUUGUUGGAAGGUAAUGAACUAAAGUGGAUAAAAAUAUCUUCUUCUUCCGUUGGAGAAGAAAGACUUUUCACUAAAAGUAAAUAAAAAUUUUCCAUGGCUCCCCGCUCAUACCUUUCAAUGCAAGAAAAUGAAAAGUCACAUGUGGGGCUCAUUGCCAUUUGUGGUAUGGUGAGGGUAGAAGUUUCGAAGACUCGUAUAGGAUUGAUGGGUUGAGAAGUCAUCUGGCUGUGUGAUAGGUCAAGGUCAGGGUUAUUUGAAGACUGGAAGCCAGGAAAGAGACCGACAAAUCUGACAAGGGUCCUCUCUGUGCCCUCUCUGGAGAGAGAAACUUCAAAUUUCAGAGAGAUUAAUUGCCUGCCCAGAAUGCACUUCUCACACAUCGGAGGACACAGUGUUGGCUACUCGUAUGGUGGGGACCAACAACGUAGGCUUCAUCCUUACCUUCUUCUCAGACCUGGACUACACACGUUAGUUUUGUCAUCUGUCCAACUGUCAUACAUACAAAAGUCAGUAAGACUUUGUGAUGUCAGAGAGCCAUUCGAAGUGCUUUCAGUACCAGCCUGUUAAAUAUCAGAAAUGCCUGUGAUGGUUUGAUAAAGAUCUUCAAGGAGGACUGCAAAUUUGGCUUCUACUGAGGCCUUGCUGUGCACCCAAACCUUGGCAGGACAUGUCCUGCUUACUUAUCCUUGGCAUUUUGAGAGCCACCGGACUACAGGCAGGUCCUUUGAUGGUUAGGAUGGUUUGUCUGUUAUUGUUAGAGAAUAGCAUUGAUCUGAAGAAGCUGACUUAAUAUUACUAUGGGUUUUUAAGCCUCGGUAUUAAUACUCAUCUCUAUUAAAAAUUUUCCCUACCAAAUCUCUGGCCCAACCGUAGUGACAGGGUCCUGAUUAGAUUUCAAGGGCUGUGUUGACUGUCAGUGUUCUCCCUGCAGUACCCAGCAUGGGGUUGGCUCCUUCUUGGGUCUGGAGUGAGGCAGACAGGCUUGAGGGAUCCUUUGUCUAGUGGAAACUCAGUUCAACAGUGCUGCAAAGCAUCUGUCCUUCUCCCUCCAGAAACAGCAUCACACUUCUCCCUCCAAGUCUGCAGUGGUGACACACUUCUCCCUCCAAGUCUGCAGUGGUGACGCCACUCCUCAGCUUGCUUUCUGCUGGGUUUGCGUCAAACCGGAGAACUCGUUUCCAGCAGGGUUCAGAAGCUGAGAUUACAUCUCUGUUGCCUAAGCACCAAUUAAAACUUCUAACUUUUAACCACAUAGCCUUUUUCCUUGUUACAUGUUUGUCCGUUCUGCAGAACACUUUCAUGUACAUGACGAUCAAUUUUCCUCCUGGCUAUGUCAAUUCAGUAUGAAAAGGAAGAAACUAAAGCUGGAAGAAUCCAUAGCAAUUAUUCAUGUCACAGGCUGGACAAGUGGCCUGAAGGUGAAGGAAGAGUUUAUGGUCACAUGGUGAACAGAACAGUCCCCGCCAAACUGGAAAGCUCCGUGACUUAGCAGCUGAGCCGGAAAUGGAAACCAAGUAGUCCAGUUCUUAUGCAAAUGGACUAAAACGACAGACCCUGCCCUUUGACCUUCUGCUAAAAACAGAAACUUGGGCGGCAGAAAAAAAAAUACCCCUCAGAAAGAAAGAAAGAAGGAAGGAAGGAAGGAAAGAAGGAAGAAGGAAGGGGACAGACAGACAAACAAGCAAAGGCUUGUUUGGUGGUACCAGCCACAGCAGGGAGCUCAUGUGCCUGCCCCAUGCUUCAGGACUACGAUGUGGUGUCCGUAAUUGGAUAGAACGCUCAGGCUACUUCCGGGAAGGGUUCUUGAAUCUACACCUCCAACGGUAGAAAUAAAUGUAUGGACCAAGAAUUGCUGAGUGAUGGCUUUCGAAGUUAAAAGGGCAUAAAAAGGGGCCACUCAUCACACCAAAUUCAUCACGAAUGACUUAAAUAGAUCUCACAAUCUGUUCCAUUCUCUAGACAGGAUUUAAGAGAAACGCCCACUUGAUUUGAAUCUCAAGGCUGCAUCACAUCCUGCUAGGAAUCCAGAGAGCUAAUAUUUCGCCUUGAAUCUUGUUACCGGAGGAGGAUAUUGAAUUUGGAUAAUACAGGUGGAGAAGUGGGACGGCUGGCAGGCAGGCUGCUGUGAGGGCCCACCGCGCUGGGCCGUGAGACUUCUUCCUCUUGCCUCUCCAUUUUGCUGUCUGUCCAUUCUCUCUUUAGGACAAAGCCUUCAUCUUCUUUUUGGAUCAGGCCCCUGUCAUGGUCAGCCUCACCCUUUCUUCAACCCGGUAUUCCGUUCUUCUGUCUCCUCUCUUCUUGCCUUGGUGAGGACAUGGGUUGAUGCUCAAUGGCCGUGGGCUGAUGGGAACUGCAGUUGUCUACAGCAUUUGCAACAGCAGAGCUCACUCUGAAACAGGAAGGGGCCCGGUUGGAAGGCAGCAUCCCUGGACAGCAGCAAGUGGAUUAUCCCCGAUGAGGGGAAAGGCUUACUUGCCUCUCUCCCACUCUGAGGUCUUCUUCAUCACUUUCUUAUGGGCUGGGAACUAUUCUCCCAUUCUACGGAAGCUGAGAGACACCAGAUGACCUACCCUGCUUCUACAGUAUGACCUCACACGUGUGGCUGGCUGUGCAUGGACAUGUAUGCACACACACACGGAAGCCAGAAGUUGACCUCCUGUGCCUAUUGUUCUGACACAGACUCUCCCAUUGAGGUUGGAAUUCGGUGACUCAGUCUGGCUAGGCUGAUUGACCAGUGGGCCCAGGACUCUUUCUGGCUCUGGUUUCUGACUCUAGGGUUGUAAAUCCAUGCUGAUAUGCACUCCUUUAGAUGGGAUAUGGAUCUCUUCAGCCCCGAGAAUCCCCACCCUUAAACAUCUCAUCUCCCUCUGCAUGCUGGCUCCCAGUGUUGCUCUCGUCUAAGAGUUUUGUCCACAUUCGUGACACCAAGACUUCUGAGUCAUAUUUAAAAAGCCAACAACAGUGCUAAUCAGAAUUAACGUGGCCUUGCUGUGAACGGUUGACCUCUGUCGGCUGCUCUGAUUGCUUCCUGGGACGUGCGCACUUCUUCACGUCCUCACAGAGCACCACGUUGGUUUACAUUACUUCGAGUCCUUGCCGGAGGACCACGUUGGUUUUGCGUGGCUAAUCUAAGAAUCUACCCAUGAACUUUUUCCACCUGCAGCCAAGGCUCAUUCAUUUGUUCAAUCAACAAAUAUUUAUUGCAGCCCUGCUACGGGCAGCCGACUGAGUAAAGUGCUGGGGGAGGGAUACAAAGAGGCAAAAGGCACAGUCGUUGCCCAUCAGAAAUCGCCACCAGUGGAGAAUUAAAUUAAUUAGAAGCCCGCUAAAUAACUGGUCUCAGUUAAGCUGAUGGGGUGAGAACAGUGGGCCUUUUAAAAUGCUAAUCUAUAAUUCGCUUUGCCAACGUAGACAGCAGUUGGGAGGGGGGCUCUGUGGGGGUGACUGAGAAUGCUCUCCUUUAGGUAACAUCAUAGGCAUGAGUACAUACAAACUGCCUUUCAAGGGGCAGAGGUGGGCAUAGCUUGAUGUCUCCUCAUGGAACUGGCCUAGUCUUGCUUACAAAGACCAACACCACAGGCUUUAGAAAGGGAGAAGUAAUGGAGACACGGUCUUUGUCCUGCAAUCAGAGAUAAAUGACCUAUAGUGGGGUGAAGUCCAGGUAUUUUAACCCCACCCCCCAGGCUGAACCGUAACCAAUUACCUGCUGCCAGUUUAUUCUAAUGGAACACAACAAAAAAAGUCUGUAUUUCUCCCAUGUCCAGUAUUACAACGUCCCUCAGAAUACGCACAUACAUAAACACUCUCCCACUUCUCCAGCGCUCUCCAGUAUGCCAAGUAGUGUCCGGGUCACUAGGAGAACAAUCAGGAGGUACAAGUCCAGUGUCCCUCCUUGGAGUCUGUCCUGUUUGGUGGAUAAGACUGUAAGAAUAAAAGCACAGGAUGAUGGAGGGGUCUGCGAUUAUUAAUUCAUAGACAAGAGGUGAAAACCGGAGGGGUGCAAAGAAGCUAAGUCUUAGCGGUCUUCGAAAGCAGGCUAGGGUUCCGGCGAGAAGCAGACACGAGCAGCGCAAUCCACUUUGAGGAAACACUGUGGCUCUUCGGGGGUGAAAGCUCUCCCAGUGGGGCUGGAGGAGAGGCUUAUCUGCAAAAACACUAGAACAUCCCGAUAAACACAGAACCUGCUGGGAACUGACUUGGAACCUUAUUUUAGAGGUCUUUAAAUAGUGGGCUAAACGGCUUGUAUUUUUAUCCCAUAGCCAACACAUUAAAAAAAAAAUAUGGUCAGUAAGUGAUUUUCAGAACUCUGUCCACAGGCAAGCUUAAGAAAUUGGAUAGCAAGAUGUCAAGUGGCCUGAAGGCGACUCCGAGGAAGGAAAGUGACCAACAGGAGGCCAGUUCUUGAAGACAUUAGCCAGCUGCGCUGGCUCUGCUAUGGCGACCGCACUGGGAACAAACUGCUUAGUCAUCUUUGGCAGUGAGCACCUUCUAUGGUCAUGUAAAUUUCCUAUCUGUGCUUGUCUAGGUCCACCCCACACUGUCCUUUAAAACCAUCCCAAACUCUACCUUACUGAUUGACCGUUGGCCUGUAUGAAGAAGAGCUUAAAUACACCGUCGUUGGGGCCAAGACAGGCCAGCAAGUGCCUAGAGGGACAAUUUGUACAUACAGAAGGCAUCAUUUCUCUUUGAGCGUUUAACCCUUUAGCAUUAUGUCUGAAAGGAGAAUGACGAACACAACCAGAAAAAGAACAAAAAAAAAAAAAAAAAACAACAAAAAAAAAAAACAAAAAACAACAACAACAAAAAAAAAAAAAAAAACCAAAGAUUUUGGUAGGUCAUCAAACUCCGAGGUUUGUGAAGAGAAGAUUUCAAAAUGAGUCAAGAAAAUUCAAGAAUCGAAAGACGGUCUGGUCAGUGGAAGCUCCUUGCACUGUUCCCUCUCGGCACUACUUGUCUACACAAGCUGUGUUCCACGAUAGUAUCUUAUUAUCCUUCGAUGUGUCAUUAAAGGUGUUUCACAAGCAUCGGAGUAAACAAACACACAGCCUGUCAGAGAGGUAUUACCUGCUCAAAGCCAGGACAGGCCGGGGCUUUGCUCUCUGGGAGGCAAUGUUUCAAAAAAUAGCGACUUUA
Non-coding RNA from Rattus norvegicus (Norway rat), 5168 nucleotides. The record is from RefSeq and is a predicted model, not a curated record. Lineage: Eukaryota; Metazoa; Chordata; Mammalia; Rodentia; Muridae.